Molecule: non-coding RNA, 1431 nt
Organism: Ciona intestinalis (vase tunicate)
Lineage: Eukaryota; Metazoa; Chordata; Ascidiacea; Phlebobranchia; Cionidae
Source: RefSeq, a predicted model, not a curated record
UUGUCUUGAUAAACAUCAAAAAUAAAAACAAUCAUCUAAACUUAAACGUAAAAGAUAAUGUAUACGGUUACUUCCUAUUGAUUGCUACGCACAUCAAGCCUUGCCGCGAAACCGCCGUUCCACGCUUUGGUCUAUUUCUUUACCAUCCAAGCAAAGUAUCGUCAGUGAUUUUAUAGGAUAGAUAAAUGCCAAACUGUACCUAAAACUCGCUAGACUUAUUUUAGUACUGGUAGUCACUUUCUGGUAGGUUAAAAUCGUUACGAUCGAACAAAAACGAAAGGGUUUGCUCAGAACGGUCCCCAAAAAUAUUUAACAGUUACGUCGAAUAUAAGCUACGCCGCACGAUGUCGGUGCAGAUACAGGACAAAGUACUUAAUACUUAUAAUCCCGUCGACCUAACUAUAGAAUAAGCCAACUCACGAACCUCCACGUAUAAACACGAUUAAAGCGCUUAAAACUAUGCAGUCACAUAAAAAUAAUUAAAUAAAGCAAUGAUACAAUAAAUGGUGUUACGCAUAAAAGUACUGUACGAACCAUAAUAAUAUUAUAGUGCAAGACAUUUUGCUUGCAAAUGAAAAUGACGGAACUCUGUAAACCCACAAUAAAACCCAAAACAUAUAUUUCAAAUACAGUGAAAUGUAUAAGUUAAAACCGGGCAUAAUUUUAUGCGGUUUCCGUCAACCAAUAGCAAGUUUUGCUUGCGAAAUUGCAUUAAUAAUUCAUGAGUAGGUCGACUAAAACGUUUGCCUAUUAGACCUGUAUGCUCCAACGCCUGGAGCAACAACAGCUGCAGAUACAGUUUCCACACGUUUUCAUACAGGCUAGGUUAUCAUGAAUGCAACAAGUGCGUUGGGAAUAGGUACAGAUGUAAACACAUUGGAUACAACGGUGGCCAGGAACCAGAAUGGACUACCAGCACUCACGACAGCAGUAACAACUGGUGUGGUGCUCUUUAUUGUUGUAUUUGCUCUGCUGGUUGGAGCGGCACUGUAUUUCCAAUUGCGCAAGCAGCGAGAGAUGGCGGCAGUAUUUUCCGAACAUGCGGAUCCGUCUGUUCAGUCGAAACUUAAGCAUGAGAAUGAAAAUAACACUGAAAACACUGCGAAACUGCAAGUGCAAAGCUUGUAUCCAAAACUAGAACCUCAAAACAAUGUUGUAAGCGGACGAAACGUUAAAAAUGACCAAAAAUGUGAUCUGAAAACAUAAAAACCGGAAACUGAUAACCCACUGCUGUUUUUUUUUGCAUUCCGUACAGAACAUGGAUGAACCAGCUUUUUAAUUUUUAAGCAGAGCCGAAAACAGGUUGCAGAGAAUCGUUGUAGCGCGUUAUAUAUUUUCACUUCUUACGUAUAAUAGCUUACUGGGAUAUACAUUACAUUAAAACAUAUUUCCCUUUGUCAGGAACCAACAAUAAAAAUCAGCAUUGCAAUA